GGACAUGGCGGAAGGCGGAGGCUGGCAGGGGCGGACCGGCGGACGGUGACCGGGUUCGGGCCGCGCGGGGCGGGCACUGCGUCCCCGCUCACUCUCGGGUCCCCGCAGCCACCACGCCCGUGUGAGGCCUACCGAGCGGAGUGGGAGCUGUGCCGCAGCGCCGGGCACUUCCUGCACCAUUACUACGUCCACGGGGAGAGGCCGGCCUGCGGGCAGUGGGGACGCGACCUGGCCAGCUGCCGCGAGUGGGAGGAGCGCCGCAGCGCCGAGGCCCAGGUGAGGCCCAGGUGAUCUGCCUCGCCUGCAGAGAGUGGUUCUGCCGAACUCUGGAAGACGAGGACCAAGCCCAGCGGCGUCACCCAGCCGGGGGCACAAGAAGGCCUGACGCUGCAGGGAACAGGGGCCGGGCCGCAGGGGCUGCGGUGAGGAUAGACCUGGCAGACUUUAAAAGAGGGGCUAGAUCCUAGCCUCCACGCAUGCUGGGACGCCUGCUUUGAUUUACAUCUUUAAAAGAUCAGUGUGGCUGCCAGGGUGAGAGAAUAUAAUGGUGGAGGCGUGGGAGACCAGUCAGGAGAGAGUUCUUGUCCAUUCAUUCAGCAGACACUGAACACUUUGGAAGGUCACAGCCCCUGUCCUGGCUCCUACAUCCCAGUCUAGGAUACAGGGGUGCCUUGGAGCCGGAGGGUGGGGGUAGGGGAUGGAGUGAAGCUGUGAGUGGGCAGUGCUCAUGGGGAGUUGGGGGUUUUCGGGGGAGGGAGCCAGCAGGACUAGUGUGUGUAAAAGAAAAUGAUGCCAAGUCUUGAUAAGUGGAAAGUGGGAAAGAUAGUUGUAGUUUCUAUGGGAAGAAUGCUGUAUAAUAUUUUAAAGGUAGCUGUCAUGUAUCACUAAGAAAAAUGGAAAUGAUUUUAGAGUAGAAAAGCAGGCAAGGAGCACAAAGAAAUUCAUUCUAAAAGGAAACCAAAUGGUCUGGUAUAGGAUUGAAAUGACAGUAAGUGGUUUCUGCCCAGUGGAAUGUCCACAGGGGUUUGCAGAGUCAGGCACUUGGGCAGUGCUGAUGGAAUGUCAGGAGUUCUGAUUAUCUAAAUGUCAAACACAUACCUUUUAACCCCACAAUUUUAACUCUGAAAGUUUAUCCUAAGGAAGUAAUUGGGUAACAAAUUACAGGUUCAAAAUGUGCAUAGUGUCACUGUUUGUAAUAGUGCAAAGACUGAAAGUGUCCUAAAGCCCAGUAAUAGACAUUUGACCAGAUGAUGUCUUCUCCAUCAUGGAGUAUCACACAGCUCUUAAGAACAGGUAGUAAUCCAUCCCCAUGUGCAGAGAUACCCACAGUAUGUCACUUAAUGAGAAAAGCGAGAUGUUCACUAGCCAGAUUAUUCCUUCCUUGGGGAAACGUAAUAGCUCUAAAAUUUAGGCCUCAGAUGGUAUUGGGGAAGCUGUUGAUUCACUGCAGAGAUGGAGAUCUAGGAGUCUUCCACAUUGACUCUGUGUUUUUUAUUUUUAUUUUUUUAGGGCAGCACUGGCAGCAUAUGGAAGUUCCCAGACUAGGGGUCAAAUUGCAGCUACAACUCCUGGCCUAUGCCAUGCAACUUGGGAUCCAAGCCACGUCUGUGACCCACAGCACAGCUCAUGGCAACGCCACAUCCCUGACCCACUGUGCAAGGCCAGGGUAGAACCCCAAUCCUCAUGGAUACUAGUUGGAUUUGUUUCCGCCUCUCUACAACGGGAACUCCCCUCUGAUUGUUUUUUAAAUGAGAUCAAAAACAUCCCAUAUGAGACAGUAGGACUUGAACGAAAACAGGUGGAGGUGAAACUACACUUAAAGCAGCCAGCACAGCGCCUGCACCCAGUAGGCCCUGUCCUGGCUGUUAUUGGUGGGAGUGGAACCUGUUGCCUGUGGGACUCCAGGCGUGUGUCCCUAGCAUCACCCUUCCUCUAGCCACUCUUUCAGGCUGUCUUCUCCUGCUUAGCCCACAGCUGGUCCUAGCAGGUGAGUCUGGUAAGGUCAAGGGAAGGCAUUGCACCCUGAGGCCCAGGAGGAAAGUUUUAAAAUUUCCUUGAGAAGUUCCCGUUGUGGCACAGUGGAAACAAAUCCGACUAGGAACCAUGAGGUUGCGGGUUCAAUCCCUGCCCUUGCUCAGUGGGUUAAGGAUCCAGUGUUGCCAUGAGCUAUGGUGUAGUUGUGGUUGCGGCUCGGAUCUGGCAUUGCUGUGGCUCUGGCGUAGGCCAGUGGCUACAGCUCCGAUUAGACCCCCUAGCCUGGGAACCUCUAUAUGCCGCGGGAGCAGCCCUAGAAAGGCAAAAAGACAAAUAAAUAAAUAAAUAAUGUCCUCGAAGAGUUUCCUUCGUGGCUCAGUGGUUAACGAACCCAAGAAGGAACCAUGGUGUUGCAGGUUCAAUCCCUUGCCUUGCCGUGAGCAGUGGUGUAGGUUGCAGGUGUGGCUCAGAUCUGACAUUGCUGUGGCUGGGGCGCAGGCUAGCAGCUAUAGCUCCAAUUCAACCCUAAGCCUGGGGAACUUCCAUAUGCCACAGGAGCAGCC
This 2537-nucleotide long non-coding RNA is filed under the name Sus scrofa (pig). RNAcentral's name for it is "lncRNA (ENSSSCG00025062153.1, ENSSSCG00035036830.1)". The record is from RNAcentral. Lineage: Eukaryota; Metazoa; Chordata; Mammalia; Artiodactyla; Suidae.